CCUACGGGGGACAGCAGUGAGGAAUAUUGGUCAAUGGACGAGAGUCUGAACCAGCCAAGUAGCGUGAAGGCUGACUGCCCUAUGGGUUGUAAACUUCUUUUAUAUGGGAAUAAAAUGUUCCACGUGUGGGAUUUUGUAUGGACCAUAUGAAUAAGGAUCGGCUAACUCCGUGCCAGCAGCCGCGGUAAUACGGAGGAUCCGAGCGUUAUCCGGAUUUAUUGGGUUUAAAGGGGGCGUAGGUGGAUUGUUAAGUCAGUUGUGAAAGUUUGCGGCGCAACCGUAAAAUUGCAGUUGAAACUGCCAGUCUUGAGUACAGUAGAGGUGGGCGGAAUUCGUGGUGUAGCGGUGAAAUGCUUAGAUAUCACGAAGAACUCCGAUUGCGAAGGCAGUUCACUGGACUGCAACUGACACUGAGGCUCGAAAGUGUGGGUAUCAAACAGGAUUAGAUACCCUUGUAGUC
RNAcentral lists this ribosomal RNA (460 nucleotides) under uncultured bacterium. RNAcentral describes it as "partial 16S ribosomal RNA". It matches the Rfam family "Bacterial small subunit ribosomal RNA", at positions 338 to 795 of the family's 1533-position model. The record is from RNAcentral.